ACAGGGAUUGCCCUAGUAACGGCGAGUGAAGCGGCAACAGCUCAAAUUUGAAAUCUGGCGUCUUUGGCGUCCGAGUUGUAAUUUGCAGAGGGCGCUUUGGCGUUGGCAGCAGUCUAAGUUCCUUGGAACAGGACGUCACAGAGGGUGAGAAUCCCGUACGUGGUUGCUGGCCUUCGCCGUGUAAAGCCCCUUCGACGAGUCGAGUUGUUUGGGAAUGCAGCUCUAAAUGGGAGGUAAAUUUCUUCUAAAGCUAAAUACUGGCCAGAGACCGAUAGCGCACAAGUAGAGUGAUCGAAAGAUGAAAAGCACUUUGGAAAGAGAGUCAAACAGCACGUGAAAUUGUUAAAAGGGAAGCGCUUGCAGCCAGACUUGCCUGUAGUUGCUCAUCCGGACUUUUGUCCGGUGCACUCUUCUAUAGGCAGGCCAGCAUCAGUUUGGGCGGUUGGAUAAAGGUCUCUGUCAUGUACCUCUCUUCGGGGAGAACUUAUAGGGGAGACGACAUGCAACCAGCCUGGACUGAGGUCCGCGCAUUUGCUAGGAUGCUGGCGUAAUGGCUGUAAGCGGCCCGUCUUGAAACACGGACCAAGGAGUCUAACAUCUAUGCGAGUGUUUGGGUGUCAAGCCCGAACGCGUAAUGAAAGUGAACGGAGGUGGGAACCCCUCGGGGUGCACCAUCGACCGAUCCUGAUGUCUUCGGAUGGAUUUGAGUAAGAGCAUAGCUGUUGGGACCCGAAAGAUGGUGAACUAUGCUUGAAUAGGGUGAAGCCAGAGGAAACUCUGGUGGAGGCUCGCAGCGGUUCUGACGUGCAAAUCGAUCGUCAAAUUUGGGCAUAGGGGCGAAAGACUAAUCGAACUAUCUAGUAGCUGG
Molecule: ribosomal RNA, 868 nt
Filed under: Neoascochyta europaea
Lineage: Eukaryota; Fungi; Ascomycota; Dothideomycetes; Pleosporales; Didymellaceae
Description: partial large subunit ribosomal RNA
Rfam family: Eukaryotic large subunit ribosomal RNA
Source: RNAcentral